UGUAUGUUGACGUAUUCUGAAAGGAUACUUCUUCGGACAAUAUACAAGGUGCUGCAUGGUUGUCGUCAGCUCGUGCCGUGAGGUGUCGGGUUAAGUCCCAUAACGAGCGCAACCCUACCUUUAGUUGCCAUCAGGUUAAGCUGGGGACUCUAAAGGAACUGCCUACGCAAGUAGUGAGGAAGGCGGGGAUGACGUCAAAUCAGCACGGCCCUUACGUCCAGGGCUACACACGUGCUACAAUGGCCGAUACAGAGGGCAGCUACCUGGUGACAGGAUGCAAAUCUCCAAAGUCGGUCUCAGUUCGGAUCGGAGUCUGCAACCCGACUCCGUGAAGUUGGAUUCGCUAGUAAUCGCGCAUCAGCCAUGGCGCGGUGAAUACGUUCCCGGGCCUU
RNAcentral lists this ribosomal RNA (392 nucleotides) under uncultured Sphingobacteriales bacterium. RNAcentral describes it as "bacterial SSU rRNA". It matches the Rfam family "Bacterial small subunit ribosomal RNA", at positions 986 to 1382 of the family's 1533-position model. Lineage: Bacteria; Pseudomonadati; Bacteroidota; Sphingobacteriia; Sphingobacteriales. The record is from RNAcentral.